Long non-coding RNA from Xenopus laevis (African clawed frog), 1356 nucleotides. RefSeq lists it as uncharacterized. The transcript has 2 exons. Lineage: Eukaryota; Metazoa; Chordata; Amphibia; Anura; Pipidae. The record is from RefSeq and is a predicted model, not a curated record.
GUGAACAGCCAUGGAAUGAUUAUAUUGGGUAUAUGUUGCCAGAGUCUAUUCACCUGGAAUAGCCAGACAAUUAGUCUUUCUUUCCUAAAUAUGGCCCAAAAUUCUCUAGUUAUCUCACCUUGGAGGGUUAAAUAUUAACCUGGGUACUCAUGCAGCAAUGAUUACCAAAAUAACAUUCUUUAAAGCAGACAUUAAUCAUGUAUGACAAGAGCAAAGUCUUUGUUAAAUGGCUUGAGAAAACUGCUCACCUGCAAGCUUACAAAGAGUGUGGGGAGGAAAUCAUUCAGAAAACAACGUGCAAUGGUUAGUUGUGCAGAUUGGCGCUAAACGAUACAUUUAUAUUUGUUAAAAUAAGGGUAAAACAAAGGCACUGCAUUUUAUUUAGUAUCACUCUUGUCAUAGGAUUCAGGCUGUCUGUAUAGCAGAAAAUUAUGGUCCUUAUCAAAAUGACUAAUUAUUGUUUUACAGCCCAUGAAGAUAAGGAACAUUAAAAGCAUACAAUAAUAAUGUACUUCUAUUUAUUUAUUUUUACCCCAAAAACAGUCUUAUAUAAACAAACUUAAAACUUAAUGUCACAGUUAGAGUUUCUAGUCUGGCAUCAAUACAUUGGUUGAGAAAAUGCCAAUUUGCCUCCACAAAUGCUGUGUCUGUGAGAGCUGCUGGAACACAAGAAGGAUAGCAGCCAGUUGGGGGUAGAUUGAUGUCAGGGAAGAAAAUGCCAAUUGUGAAAUCAGCAACAUGCUGUGAUAUAAGAUAACAAAGCAGCACUGACUUCUGAACUGAGCAAUCCUCUUCAAAACCUGGAACAAUUUUGAAAAGUAACCCUUUUAUCACAUUGGACUGGAAAAUCUGGUUCCUGCACCACUGCUAAGGGAGGAGAGUUGGAGCACUGUGUUACACACCUAGGAGACCACUGUGUAAUUGUCUUGAAAGCUGAAUUUCUCCAAGCUGCACCUGGAGCUGCAGCAGCAGCCACAGCACCACCACUGGCAGCACCUGCAGCAGCCACAGCACCACUGGCAGCAGCACCUGCAGGAGCACCCUCAUCACCACCGGCAGCACUACUUACAGCACCUGCUGCACCAUCACCAGGAGCACCACCAGUGGCAUCAGUACUGCUAGGCCAGGACAUGGCAGACCUUGUGUUCCUGGUUUUUCAGCAGGUGCACGCCUUGCGAAUAGAAAUACAGGAACUUCAUUUUUGCUCACUUUCAGAGGAGACCCCCUGCUUCUUCUCCUCCUCCUCCUCCAUCAUCAACAUCUCAGUCUAUUUAAAUUUUUUAAUUAGUUUUAACUAAUAUUCAUGUAAUAUGCACUGUUGUGCUUGCUUGUAAUAACAGUUAAGUUUGUUGCUAA